Molecule: ribosomal RNA, 425 nt
Filed under: uncultured bacterium
Lineage: Bacteria
Description: bacterial SSU rRNA
Rfam family: Bacterial small subunit ribosomal RNA
Source: RNAcentral
GAAUUUUGGACAAUGGGGGCAACCCUGAUCCAGCCAUGCCGCGUGUGUGAAGAAGGCCUUCGGGUUGUAAAGCACUUUCGGCCGGAACGAAAUCGCGCGAGCUAACACCCCGCGUGGAUGACGGUACCGGACGAAGAAGCACCGGCUAACUACGUGCCAGCAGCCGCGGUAAUACGUAGGGUGCGAGCGUUAAUCGGAAUUACUGGGCGUAAAGUGUGCGCAGGUGGCCGCGCAAGUCGAGUGUGAAAGCCCCGGGCUUAACUUGGGAAUUGCGCUCGAGACUACGUGGCUAGAGUGUGGCAGAGGAAGGUGGAAUUCCACGUGUAGCGGUGAAAUGCGUAGAGAUGUGGAGGAACACCGAUGGCGAAGGCAGCCUUCUGGGCCAACACUGACGCUCAUGCACGAAAGCGUGGGGAGCAAACGGG